Molecule: ribosomal RNA, 498 nt
Filed under: uncultured bacterium
Lineage: Bacteria
Description: partial 16S ribosomal RNA
Rfam family: Bacterial small subunit ribosomal RNA
Source: RNAcentral
GACGAACGCUGGCGGCGUGCCUAAUACAUGCAAGUCGAACGAGAGCGACCGGUGCUUGCACUGGUCAAUCUAGUGGCGAACGGGUGAGUAACACGUGGGUAACCUGCCCAUCAGAGGGGGAUAACAUCCGGAAACGGAUGCUAAAACCGCAUAGGUCUUCGAGCCGCAUGGCUUGAAGAGGAAAAGAGGCGCAAGCUUCUGCUGAUGGAUGGACCCGCGGUGCAUUAGCUAGUUGGUGAGGUAACGGCUCACCAAGGCCGUGAUGCAUAGCCGACCUGAGAGGGUGAUCGGCCACAUUGGGACUGAGACACGGCCCAAACUCCUACGGGAGGCAGCAGUAGGGAAUCUUCCGCAAUGGAUGCAAGUCUGACGGAGCAACGCCGCGUGAGUGAAGAAGGUUUUCGGAUCGUAAAACUCUGUUGUUAGAGAAGAACAAGUGCUAGAGUAACUGUUAGCGCCUUGACGGUAUCUAACCAGAAAGCCACGGCUAACUACGUG